Molecule: ribosomal RNA, 497 nt
Filed under: uncultured bacterium
Lineage: Bacteria
Description: bacterial SSU rRNA
Rfam family: Bacterial small subunit ribosomal RNA
Source: RNAcentral
UAGUCCACGCUGUAAACGAUGAGUGCUAGCUAUUGGAUUUAUUUUCAGUGGUACAGCUAACGCGUUAAGCACUCCGCCUGGGGAGUACGGCCGCAAGGUUAAAACUCAAAGGAAUUGACGGGGACCCGCACAAGCGGUGGAGCAUGUGGUUUAAUUCGAUGCAACGCGAAGAACCUUACCACCUUUUGACAUCUAGAUCGCGAGGACCAGAGAUGGACCUUUUCAGUUAGGCUGGAUCUAUGACGGGUGUUGCAUGGCUGUCGUCAGCUCGUGUCGUGAGAUGUUGGGUUAAGUCCCGCAACGAGCGCAACCCUCACCCUUAUUUGCCAGCACGUUAUGGUGGGAACUAUAGGGGGACUGCUCGUGAUAAGCGAGAGGAAGGUGGGGAUGACGUCAAGUCAUCAUGGCUCUUACGUGGUGGGCUACACACGUGCUACAAUGGCGCUAACAAUGGGUUAAUCCCCAAAAGGCGUCUCAGUUCGGAUUGUCUUCUGCAA